Molecule: ribosomal RNA, 244 nt
Filed under: uncultured Staphylococcus sp.
Lineage: Bacteria; Bacillati; Bacillota; Bacilli; Caryophanales; Staphylococcaceae
Description: partial 16S ribosomal RNA
Rfam family: Bacterial small subunit ribosomal RNA
Source: RNAcentral
CGGCGGACGGGUGAGUAACACGUGGGUAACCUACCUAUAAGACUGGGACAACUUCGGGAAACCGGAGCUAAUACCGGAUAAUAUGUUGAACCGCAUGGUUCAAUAGUGAAAGAUGGUUUUGCUAUCACUUAUAGAUGGACCCGCGCCGUAUUAGCUAGUUGGUGAGGUAACGGCUUACCAAGGCAACGAUACGUAGCCGACCUGAGAGGGUGAUCGGCCACACUGGAACUGAGACACGGUCCAG